RNAcentral lists this ribosomal RNA (216 nucleotides) under Campeiostachys nutans. RNAcentral's name for it is "Elymus nutans partial small subunit ribosomal RNA". The stretch from base 38 to 216 matches the Rfam family "Eukaryotic small subunit ribosomal RNA", at positions 684 to 864 of the family's 1831-position model. Lineage: Eukaryota; Viridiplantae; Streptophyta; Magnoliopsida; Poales; Poaceae. The record is from RNAcentral.
GGGUCAGUAGGUUGGUCAUGCCACUGGUAUGAACUGGUUUUACUGAUUCCUCCCUCUUGAAGAACUGUAAUGCCAUUAAUUUGGUGUUGCAGGGAAUCAGGACUGUUACUUUGAAAAAAUUAGAGUGCUUAAAGCAGGCUAUCGCCUGAAUACAUUAGCAUGGAAUAAUGAAAUAGGACGUUCGAUCCUAUUUUGUUGGUUUCUAGGAUUGACGUA